ACUAAUAUAUUUGGUAUGGAUCUGUACUAAUUUCUGCUGACUUCCUUUCUAGGGUCCUCGUGGUCCUCAAGGGAUUGACGGGGAACCUGGUAUCCCUGGACAGCCUGGUGAUCCUGGACCCCCAGGACAUCCAACUCACUCAGGACCAGAUGGGAGGAAUGCACCGUUUGCAGCUCAGAUGGCAGGAUUGGAUGAGAAAUCUGGAAUCAGUAGUCAAAUGGGAUUCAUGCCCGGUGCAGUGGGGCCAGUGGGUCCAAGAGGUCCGCAGGGUCUACAAGGACAACAAGGUGGUGUUGGCCCCACAGGCCCGCCAGGUGAAGCUG
Molecule: long non-coding RNA, 323 nt
Filed under: Terrapene triunguis (Three-toed box turtle)
Lineage: Eukaryota; Metazoa; Chordata; Testudines; Emydidae
Description: Terrapene carolina triunguis (Three-toed box turtle) lncRNA (ENSTMTG00000004259.1)
Source: RNAcentral